GUCAGCUAUGUGGACUCUAGCUGCCAAAGGCGCUUCUCCUUCUGAACAGAGCGCUUUGCUCAGCCAGUGUAGACAUGGCCUGAU
This is a microRNA precursor of Cavia porcellus (domestic guinea pig), 84 nucleotides long. Ensembl annotates it as microRNA 1251. The record is from Ensembl. NCBI's taxonomy places the organism in Eukaryota, Metazoa, Chordata, Mammalia, Rodentia, Caviidae.